GAUGAACGCUGGCGGCGUGCCUAAUACAUGCAAGUAGAACGCUGAAGCUUGGUGCUUGCACCGAGCGGAUGAGUUGCGAACGGGUGAGUAACGCGUAGGUAACCUGCCUCUUAGCGGGGGAUAACUAUUGGAAACGAUAGCUAAUACCGCAUAAAAGUCGACAUCGCAUGAUGUUGACUUGAAAGGUGCAAUUGCAUCACUAAGAGAUGGACCUGCGUUGUAUUAGCUAGUUGGUGAGGUAACGGCUCACCAAGGCGACGAUACAUAGCCGACCUGAGAGGGUGAUCGGCCACACUGGGACUGAGACACGGCCCAGACUCCUACGGGAGGCAGCAGUAGGGAAUCUUCGGCAAUGGGGGCAACCCUGACCGAGCAACGCCGCGUGAGUGAAGAAGGUUUUCGGAUCGUAAAUGCUCUGUUGUAAGAGAAGAACGAGUGUGAGAUGUGGAAAUGUUCACACU
RNAcentral lists this ribosomal RNA (461 nucleotides) under Streptococcus parasanguinis. Its description in RNAcentral is "bacterial SSU rRNA". It matches the Rfam family "Bacterial small subunit ribosomal RNA", at positions 28 to 470 of the family's 1533-position model. The record is from RNAcentral. Lineage: Bacteria; Bacillati; Bacillota; Bacilli; Lactobacillales; Streptococcaceae.